This 541-nucleotide ribosomal RNA is filed under the name Bifidobacterium dentium. RNAcentral's name for it is "bacterial SSU rRNA". It matches the Rfam family "Bacterial small subunit ribosomal RNA", at positions 160 to 711 of the family's 1533-position model. Lineage: Bacteria; Bacillati; Actinomycetota; Actinomycetes; Bifidobacteriales; Bifidobacteriaceae. The record is from RNAcentral.
GUGGUAAUGCCGGAUGCUCCGGUUGGAUGCAUGUCCUUCCGGGAAAGAUCCAUCGGUAUGGGAUGGGGUCGCGUCCUAUCAGCUUGAUGGCGGGGUAACGGCCCACCAUGGCCUCGACGGGUAGCCGGCCUGAGAGGGCGACCGGCCACAUUGGGACUGAGAUACGGCCCAGACUCCUACGGGAGGCAGCAGUGGGGAAUAUUGCACAAUGGGCGCAAGCCUGAUGCAGCGACGCCGCGUGCGGGAUGGAGGCCUUCGGGUUGUAAACCGCUUUUGAUCGGGAGCAAGCCCUUCGGGGUGAGUGUACCUUUCGAAUAAGCACCGGCUAACUACGUGCCAGCAGCCGCGGUAAUACGUAGGGUGCAAGCGUUAUCCGGAAUUAUUGGGCGUAAAGGGCUCGUAGGCGGUUCGUCGCGUCCGGUGUGAAAGCCCAUCGCUUAACGGUGGGUCUGCGCCGGGUACGGGCGGGCUGGAGUGCGGUAGGGGAGACUGGAAUUCCCGGUGUAACGGUGGAAUGUGUAGAUAUCGGAAAAGAACACCA